This 468-nucleotide ribosomal RNA is filed under the name uncultured bacterium. RNAcentral describes it as "partial 16S ribosomal RNA". It matches the Rfam family "Bacterial small subunit ribosomal RNA", at positions 28 to 507 of the family's 1533-position model. The record is from RNAcentral.
GACGAACGCUGGCGGCGUGCUUAACACAUGCAAGUCGAACGGAAAGGCCCUGCUUUUGUGGGGUGCUCGAGUGGCGAACGGGUGAGUAACACGUGAGUAACCUGCCCUUGACUUUGGGAUAACUUCAGGAAACUGGGGCUAAUACCGGAUAGGAGCUCCUGCUGCAUGGUGGGGGUUGGAAAGUUUCGGCGGUUGGGGAUGGACUCGCGGCUUAUCAGCUUGUUGGUGGGGUAGUGGCUUACCAAGGCUUUGACGGGUAGCCGGCCUGAGAGGGUGACCGGCCACAUUGGGACUGAGAUACGGCCCAGACUCCUACGGGAGGCAGCAGUGGGGAAUAUUGCACAAUGGGCGGAAGCCUGAUGCAGCAACGCCGCGUGCGGGAUGACGGCCUUCGGGUUGUAAACCGCUUUCGCCUGCGACGAAGCGUGAGUGACGGUAAUGGGUAAAGAGGCACCGGCUAACUACGUG